RNAcentral lists this long non-coding RNA (435 nucleotides) under Vigna radiata. Its description in RNAcentral is "long non-coding RNA (VRAD_LNC009599)". Lineage: Eukaryota; Viridiplantae; Streptophyta; Magnoliopsida; Fabales; Fabaceae. The record is from RNAcentral.
GUAGCUCACUUCUAGAGUGCUCUUAGAAAUUAGGACACAGAGGGAGAAACCUACAAAUCACCAAAAAUNGUGAUAGAAAAGAGCUCUUAGAGCUAGAAUGCAGAGAGAUUGAAAAGGAAUUUUCGUAAUGUACUUAAAAUCAGAAAUCUUGUAAACCCUAAAUCAAGAACAGUGGAAACAGGGGAAAANUUUGCUCACCCAGUGAAAUUGAGAAACGUUCGGUUCAGUUGGAAGCCCUUCCUUUCAGGAGNAGUUUGGUGGCCUCAAAUCAAGUUUUAAACGGUGGAAUCUACUGGAAUUUUAGAGAGAAGUGAGUGCUUGAGUUAGGGCAAGGUUUAUGUUCUUGAGAGAGAAGAGAAAAUGGAGAAAUGAAUUUCUGAAGCUAAGGGAAGGGACCCCUCUCUUGGCCAUGUGCCCAAUACGAAUGGGCCUGGG